GUUUUCUGCUCCGCUGGUGAAUGCACUUCUUAAUGGCAUCCGGAACAGGUUCAAUCAUCUGCAGGAUGACCAGGACUGCUACUAGCGUCCAUUGUGCUCCCCCAAUUCAAAGUGGGAUGGGUCCAUGGCGAUCCCAGGCGGCAGGAGUUAACGCAACUGCUCAAGGACAAGAGGACCGCACCUACCCUCACCCAGAUAAAAUCACCAGCUGAUCCGAAGACAUACGCCUUUGGCCUUCGGUCGCAUUGCCAGAUGUAAUUUACUACCUGGUGAACACAAAGGCAUGCGACCUCCAAGACGUGAAGCCCCAUCGAAGCUUAGAGUCCUACAACUACCUGCAAAGUGG
This is a long non-coding RNA of Ixodes scapularis (black-legged tick), 346 nucleotides long. RefSeq lists it as uncharacterized. The transcript has 3 exons. The record is from RefSeq and is a predicted model, not a curated record. NCBI's taxonomy places the organism in Eukaryota, Metazoa, Arthropoda, Arachnida, Ixodida, Ixodidae.